GACAAACGCUGGCGGCGUGCCUAAUACAUGCAAGUCGAGCGAAUCCUUCCUUCGGGAAGGGUUAGCGGCGGACGGGUGAGUAACACGUAGGCAACCUGCCUGCAAGCUUGGGAUAACCAACGGAAACGUUAGCUAAUACCGGAUACACAACGGAAUCGCAUGACUCUGUUGGGAAAGAGGGUUUCGGCUCUCGCUUACAGAUGGGCCUGCGGCGCAUUAGCUAGUUGGUGAGGUAACGGCUCACCAAGGCGACGAUGCGUAGCCGACCUGAGAGGGUGAUCGGCCACACUGGGACUGAGACACGGCCCAGACUCCUACGGGAGGCAGCAGUAGGGAAUCUUCCGCAAUGGACGAAAGUCUGACGGAGCAACGCCGCGUGAGUGAUGAAGGUUCUCGGAUCGUAAAGCUCUGUUGCCAGGGAAGAACAGUCAGGGGAGUAACUGCCCUUGGCGUGACGGUACCUGAGAAGAAAGCCCCGGCUAACUACGUGCCAGCAGCCGAC
This 502-nucleotide ribosomal RNA is filed under the name uncultured bacterium. RNAcentral describes it as "bacterial SSU rRNA". It matches the Rfam family "Bacterial small subunit ribosomal RNA", at positions 28 to 518 of the family's 1533-position model. The record is from RNAcentral.